GCUAAUCAUAAUUUUUUUUUUGGUCGUAAUGUAACAUUUCAUAGAUUGGAAUAAAUGACUUGGGCCCAAUACAAAUUAGAGGAUUCAAAAAAGACCAAGUCUACAAAUAUAAGAUCAUGGUCUACAACUCAACCUAAACUAUAAAAAAAAGAAAUGACCCAAGACCCAAUAAAGAAACUCUAGCUUGGGAUUUGACCCAAGUAAAAGGAUCCGCUAGACUGAGGAGGAGCACCUGCCACCAUCGAAUGAAGCAUUUCAAGGUAAACAAAGAAAAUCAUAAAGCACACAUGGAGAGUCAAAGGAAACCAUCGUUCCAGAAAAAGGCCCAUUACUACAACAAUUCUAAGAGCUCAAGCAAAGCCGAAGAAGUACCCAAGUAAUAGCGGCAUGGAGAAUGACAAAACCAUGGAGAGGGAAGUGGUAGAUCAACUCAGCAAUAGUCGAGGGUGGAGGUGGUAGGACUAUUCGGUGACUCACUCGUGCUCUUCAGGAUGGCCAUUUGAUUCUGCCAACUCAUGGACCCAACGAGUUACCACCAACACACACUUUCCGAAUUGUUUUGUUAGAUCUUAACAAAGUUGAAUCAAUGAUCUGAGCUCUCCAGAGUCACCUGUAAAUCAUAAACAAAGCAAAGAAAGGAAAAACACAGAAGCAAGGCAGCCCAAAAAAAACUUCAAAACAAUUAGAUUUCGGCAAGAUCAAGUUUUGAAAUUCUAUCUACAUCCUAAUUAAGUGGUGGGAGGGAAACACACGACUAAAUCAGGGGAGGGAGGACUUCCUCUAUCUGAAGAGGCAGAGAAAGGUUUGACAACAUGAAAGAGUAAAAGAUUGUCACCCUAAUCGACGAAAUGAAAGGAAGGCAGAGGAUGUUCUUUUUUUACAGAAUAGAGAGAGAAAAUAACUCUAAUUCUCUAUUUUAAUGCUUGUAAAAAUAAUUUUUAUUUUCAUGUUGUAUUUCCAUCGUAUUCUUUUGUUUAUAACGCAAAACAAUAUUAUUUUGAACAAUAAAAGUAAAUUGGGAGUGUACAAAAAAGAUUACCCAUUCUUACCGUUAGUAUUAAAAAAAAAACCCCAAAAAAGUUACCCAAGAAAGAGUAGAAAACGAUAAAGUUCCAAUUACCACUCCAACGGCACACGGUCCAAGCAAUGAAACCCCCAAUUUCCUGCUGACCAAACACACAAGCGAAGUAGUGGCUUAAAUAAAUCUACCAGCUAUGCUCACAGUAAUCAGUACUCAACACUCUCUUCUUCU
RNAcentral lists this unclassified non-coding RNA (1252 nucleotides) under Hevea brasiliensis (rubber tree). The record is from RNAcentral. Lineage: Eukaryota; Viridiplantae; Streptophyta; Magnoliopsida; Malpighiales; Euphorbiaceae.